RNAcentral lists this ribosomal RNA (458 nucleotides) under uncultured bacterium. RNAcentral's name for it is "partial 16S ribosomal RNA". It matches the Rfam family "Bacterial small subunit ribosomal RNA", at positions 338 to 795 of the family's 1533-position model. The record is from RNAcentral.
CCUACGGGGUGCUGCAGUGAGGAAUAUUGGUCAAUGGGCGAGAGCCUGAACCAGCCAAGUCGCGUGAGGGAGUACUGCCCUAUGGGUUGUAAACCUCUUUUGUCGGGGAGCAAAAGCCGGACGUGUCCGGCUGUGAGAGUACCCGAAGAAAAAGCAUCGGCUAACUCCGUGCCAGCAGCCGCGGUAAUACGGAGGAUGCGAGCGUUAUCCGGAUUUAUUGGGUUUAAAGGGUGCGCAGGCGGAUUUUUAAGUCAGCGGUAAAAUCGUGGGGCUCAACCCCAUCCAGCCGUUGAAACUGGGGAUCUAGAGUGUGCGAGAGGUAUGCGGAAUGCGUGGUGUAGCGGUGAAAUGCAUAGAUAUCACGCAGAACCCCGAUUGCGAAGGCAGCAUACCGGUGCACAACUGACGCUCAGGCACGAAAGCGUGGGUAUCGAACAGGAUUAGAUACCCUUGUAGUC